This is a small nucleolar RNA of Molossus molossus (Pallas's mastiff bat), 130 nucleotides long. RefSeq annotates it as small nucleolar RNA SNORA51. The record is from RefSeq and is a predicted model, not a curated record. The transcript has a single exon. Lineage: Eukaryota; Metazoa; Chordata; Mammalia; Chiroptera; Molossidae.
GGCCUCCUGGUGCUCACCACAGGCCAUGUUCUUACUCUCACUGCACAGACAGAGGAGGCAGAGUACACCACCCAUAUACACCUCAACCCGGGCCCUUUGCCUAGUUUGUACUAUGAAUGGGAGGACAUGG